UACGUAGGGUGCAAGCGUUGUCCGGAAUUAUUGGGCGUAAAGGGCUCGUAGGCGGUCCAUCGCGUCGGGAGUGAAAAGCUGGGGCUUAACCCCAGUCCUGCUUCCGAUACGGGUGGACUAGAGGUAGGUAGGGGAGAACGGAAUUCCUGGUGUAGCGGUGAAAUGCGCAGAUAUCAGGAGGAACACCGGUGGCGAAGGCAGCUCACUGGGACGGUAUUGACGCUGAGACGCGAAAGCGUGGGGAGCAAACAGG
Molecule: ribosomal RNA, 253 nt
Filed under: uncultured bacterium
Lineage: Bacteria
Description: partial 16S ribosomal RNA
Rfam family: Bacterial small subunit ribosomal RNA
Source: RNAcentral